This 464-nucleotide ribosomal RNA is filed under the name uncultured bacterium. Its description in RNAcentral is "partial 16S ribosomal RNA". It matches the Rfam family "Bacterial small subunit ribosomal RNA", at positions 339 to 795 of the family's 1533-position model. The record is from RNAcentral.
CUACGGGUCGCAGCAGUGAGGAAUUUUGCGCAAUGGGGAAACCCUGACGCAGCAACGCCGCGUGAGUGAUGAAGGCCUUCGGGUCGUAAAGCUCUGUCAAGUGGGAAGAACCCACCCUGUGCUAAUAUCACAGGGUGCUGACGGUACCACUGAAGGAAGCACCGGCUAACUCCGUGCCAGCAGCCGCAGUAAUACGGAGGGUGCAAGCGUUAUUCGGAAUUACUGGGCGUAAAGGGCGCGUAGGCGGCCUUUUAAGUCAGAUGUGAAAUCCCGGGGCUCAACCCCGGAAGUGCAUCUGAAACUAAGAGGCUUGAGUAUGGGAGAGGGAAGUGGAAUUCCUGGUGUAGAGGUGAAAUUCGUAGAUAUCAGGAGGAACACCGGUGGCGAAGGCGACUUCCUGGACCAAUACUGACGCUGAGGCGCGAAGGCGUGGGGAGCAAACAGGAUUAGAUACCCCGGUAGUC